UUUAUUAUGGCAGAUUAGUGUAUUAAACUUAGAAUUUAAUUAUAUAUAUUUAAACUAAAUUUAUAUUAAUAAAA
This 74-nucleotide transfer RNA is filed under the name Ibalia sp. ZJUH 20220011. Its description in RNAcentral is "tRNA-Leu". The record is from RNAcentral. Lineage: Eukaryota; Metazoa; Arthropoda; Insecta; Hymenoptera; Ibaliidae.